UCAGGGGGUUGGUUUCUCUCUUUGGUUAUCUAGCUGUAUGAGUUAUAACACUGUCAUAAAGCUAGAUAACCGAAAGUAGAAAUAAUUCCCAAAAUCUUUGG
Danio rerio (zebrafish) is the source of this 101-nucleotide microRNA precursor. Ensembl annotates it as microRNA 9-3. Its record names the gene mir9-3. The record is from Ensembl. Lineage: Eukaryota; Metazoa; Chordata; Actinopteri; Cypriniformes; Danionidae.